GAGUUUGAUCGUGGCUCAGAUUGAACGCUGGCGGCAUGCCUUACACAUGCAAGUCGAACGGCAGCACGGGAGCUUGCUCCUGGUGGCGAGUGGCGAACGGGUGAGUAAUGCAUCGGAACGUAUCCUGGAGUGGGGGAUAACGUAGCGAAAGUUACGCUAAUACCGCAUAUUCUGUGAGCAGGAAAGCGGGGGACCUUCGGGCCUCGCGCUCUUGGAGCGGCCGAUGUCGGAUUAGCUAGUUGGUGAGGUAAAGGCUCACCAAGGCGACGAUCCGUAGCAGGUCUGAGAGGAUGAUCUGCCACACUGGAACUGAGACACGGUCCAGACUCCUACGGGAGGCAGCAGUGGGAAUUUUGGACAAUGGGGGCAACCCUGAUCCAGCCAUGCCGCGUGAGUGAAGAAGGCCUCGGUUGUAAGUACGUCUUCGUCGUAGGAAGGAAAGUUAGUACGACCGG
This 455-nucleotide ribosomal RNA is filed under the name bacterium enrichment culture clone ALO1_GLFRUDD03F9CEY. Its description in RNAcentral is "bacterial SSU rRNA". It matches the Rfam family "Bacterial small subunit ribosomal RNA", at positions 9 to 484 of the family's 1533-position model. The record is from RNAcentral.